UAUAAGUGUGGCCAUGAGUUUCCGUGCUCAACUUUGACUGCCCGUCUUAUUUAAAAAAAAUUAUAUUCGUAUUUUUAUCAUUAUUAGAUGACAAAACAUGAAUAGUAACUUAUGUUUUUAUUUUUUUCAAAAAAAAUUCAAAUAAGAUAGACGAUCAAAGUUGGGCACAGAAAAUCAUGGAUGCACUUAAA
Oryza rufipogon (brownbeard rice) is the source of this 191-nucleotide microRNA precursor. It matches the Rfam family "MIR812 microRNA precursor family". Lineage: Eukaryota; Viridiplantae; Streptophyta; Magnoliopsida; Poales; Poaceae. The record is from Rfam.